This is a long non-coding RNA of Malus domestica (apple), 1293 nucleotides long. RefSeq lists it as uncharacterized. The record is from RefSeq and is a predicted model, not a curated record. NCBI's taxonomy places the organism in Eukaryota, Viridiplantae, Streptophyta, Magnoliopsida, Rosales, Rosaceae.
UCAGUUUUAAUUGACAGUAAUGAAAAUUUUCCAAAAUAAGACCCCUUCAUCUCUUCGUUGCGUCGGUGCCUUUUCCCUUCCCUCUUCCUUCAAUGAAAUCAUUUCAGCUUUUUACAUUAUAUCUCUCUCUCAUUUCACUCUCUCUCUCUAAACCUUUCUCUCAAUUUUCUCUGUGAGUUCAUAGUGUUCACCAACGGUAAUUCUUUAGUUAUGUUAAUAUGUUAUCGAUAGCCAUCGAUUCUUCAUGGGUUUUCUGUUACUGAAUCUUUUGGGGGAGCUUUUCGUUGGAAUCUUCGUCUGGGGUUUCAUCUGGGUUGCAUUCUUAGUUGUGUUCAUCAUGUUCAUAGUUGUAUGUGCUACUCUCUCAUUUGUUUCCGCUCUGAUGGUUAUGAUGGUGUAUGCUGAUAAGGUUAAAUCUGGUGAAAUCUCAGUUCCUUGAGAGAAUUCUGCAAUAAAUGUUUCUCAGCAGCCUCAGCCUUGAGAUUUUCAACCUCAGAUUUUGAAGCAGCUUAUCCUGCUUUUUGUUCCUUGAGCUGUUCUUCAUGGUUGGAUAUCACUUGCUGGAGUUCCUUCUUAGUAUUUUGAUGCACUUCAUUAAGCAAGCGGUUCUCAUCCAUAAGUGAAGAUAACUGUGGCAAACGGAUGUAGCUAAUAACCAUAAAGCAACAAUAUUUAGCUGCAAAAUAAUUACAAAAAAGUUUGGUGCAACCUGAGAUUGUAGUUUCUGCCCUUCAGAAGAAUGCUGCUGCGUUAAAUCUUCUAUAAUCCUUUUUGCAGCCCGAAGUUGUUCAACGGCAGUGGAAUAUUCUGCUUUAAGGUAGGACUCGUAUGUAGUAGGCCCACCACCACCACUGCUAAGAUCGGCGAGCAUGAUCGCAGACACCACAGCCACGCCCACGAGGAACUCUGACGUGGAGCUUCUACAGGGAUGAUCCAUAUAGUAAACGAUCGUAGAUGGUAUAAGAUGGGUGGUGCAGGUGUUACAAUAGGGAUUAUGACUAUUAACUGCUUAAUCAGUCGUAUCCUAUGGACUAGACCGAAUUGACAAUACCCGUUUGAUACCCAAGAAGAACACGACUGAUCAAGGGCACAUGUUAAUAUGAAUAACCAGCCAGAUUUCUCUGGCUCACUUUCAUAUCAUAUUCGCAGAAUUAAUGAAAUGCGGAUUCCCCAUAAUGAAAUGCGGAUUCCCCACUGUAUACAAUAUAUUCGAAACUACUAUUUAAUCGUUCUUUUUCGGUUUCUGAAGACUCCAAAUUGAAAUUUCUAUUUCAAAAUGAAGUUUGUUGGUAC